Molecule: ribosomal RNA, 1480 nt
Filed under: Clostridium perfringens
Lineage: Bacteria; Bacillati; Bacillota; Clostridia; Eubacteriales; Clostridiaceae
Description: bacterial SSU rRNA
Rfam family: Bacterial small subunit ribosomal RNA
Source: RNAcentral
AUUCACUCCUUAAGCUAGACUGCAGGCAUAGAACGCUGGCGGCGUGCUUAACACAUGCAAGUCGAGCGAUCAAGUUUCCUUCGGGAAACGGAUUAGCGGCGGACGGGUGAGUAACACGUGGGUAACCUGCCUCAUAGAGUUGAAUAGCCUUCCGAAAGGAAGAUUAAUACCGCAUAACGUUGAAAGAUGGCAUCAUCAUUCAACCAAAGGGGCAAUCCGCUAUGAGAUGGACCCGCGGCGCAUUAGCUAGUUGGUGGGGUAACGGCCUACCAAGGCGACGUUGCGUAGCCGACCUGAGAGGGUGAUCGGCCACAUUGGGACUGAGACACGGCCCAGACUCCUACGGGAGGGAGCAGUGGGGAAUAUUGCACAAUGGGGGAAACCCUGAUGCAGCAACGCCGCGUGAGUGAUGAAGGUUUUAGGAUCGUAAAGCUCUGUCUUUGGGGAAGAUAAUGACGGUACCCAAGGAGGAAGCCACGGCUAACUACGUCCCAGCAGCCGCGGUAAUACGUAGGUGGCGAGCGUUAUCCGGAUUUACUGGGCGUAAAGGGAGCGUAGGCAGAUGAUUAAGUGGGAUGUGAAAUACCCGGGCUCAACUUGGGUGCUGCAUUCCAAACUGGUUAUCUAGAGCGCAGGAGAGGAGAGUGGAAUUCCUAGUGUAGCGGUGAAAUGCGUAGAGAUUAGGAAGAACACCAGUGGCAAAGGCGACUCUCUGGACUGUAACUGACGCUGAGGCUCGAAAGCGUGGGGAGCAAACAGGAUUAGAUACCAUGGUAGUCCACGCCGUAAACGAUGAAUACUAGGUGUGGGGGUUUCAACACCUCCGUGCCGCCGCUAACGUAUUAAGUAUUCCGCCUGGGGAGUACGGUCGCAAGAUUAAAACUCAAAGGAAUUGACGGGGACCCGCACAUGUAGCGGAGCAUGUGGUUUAAUUCGAAGCAACGCGAAGAACCUUACCUACACUUGACAUCCCUUGCAUUGCUCUUAAUCGAGGAAAUCCCUUCGGGGACAAGGUGACAGGUGGUGCAUGGUUGUCGUCAGCUCGUGUCGCGAGAUGUUGGGUUAAGUCCCGCAACGAGCGCAACCCUUGUCGUUAGUUACUACCAUUAAGUUGAGGACUGUAGCGAGACUGCCUGGGUUAACCAGGAGGAAGGUGGGGAUGACGUCAAAUCAUCAUGCCCCUUAUGUGUUGGGCUACACACGUGCUACAAUGGCUGGUACAGAGAGAUGCAAUACCGCGAGGUGGAGCCAAACUUAAAAGCCAGUCUCAGUUCGGAUUGUAGGCUGAAACUCGCCUACAUGAAGCUGGAGUUACUAGUAAUCGCGAAUCUGAAUGUCGCGGUGAAUACGUUCCCGGGUCUUGUACACACCGCCCGUCACACCAUGAGAGUUGGCAAUACGCGAAGUCCGUGAGCUAACCGCAAGGAGGCAGCGGCCGAAGGUAGGGUCAGCGAUUGGGGUGAAGUCGUAUCAAGGUAGC